RNAcentral lists this non-coding RNA (21 nucleotides) under Caenorhabditis elegans. The record is from RNAcentral. Lineage: Eukaryota; Metazoa; Nematoda; Chromadorea; Rhabditida; Rhabditidae.
UAUAAAACCACUGAAUAUAUU